UGAGGAAUAUUGGUCAAUGGGCGAGAGCCUGAACCAGCCAAGUCGCGUGAAGGAAGAAGGUUCUAUGGAUUGUAAACUUCUUUUGUAAGGGAAUAAAAAGAGUUACGUGUAACUUAUUGUAUGUACUUUACGAAUAAGGAUCGGCUAACUCCGUGCCAGCAGCCGCGGUAAUACGGAGGAUCCAAGCGUUAUCCGGAUUUAUUGGGUUUAAAGGGUGCGUAGGCGGGCCCUUAAGUCAGUGGUGAAAGUUUGCAGCUUAACUGUAAAAUUGCCAUUGAAACUGAGGGUCUUGAGUGUAAAUAAGGUAGGCGGAAUGUGUUGUGUAGCGGUGAAAUGCUUAGAUAUAACACAGAACACCAAUUGCGAAGGCAGCUUACUGGGAUACAACUGACGCUGAGGC
RNAcentral lists this ribosomal RNA (400 nucleotides) under uncultured bacterium. RNAcentral describes it as "bacterial SSU rRNA". It matches the Rfam family "Bacterial small subunit ribosomal RNA", at positions 355 to 752 of the family's 1533-position model. The record is from RNAcentral.